Long non-coding RNA from Pollicipes pollicipes, 294 nucleotides. RefSeq lists it as uncharacterized. Lineage: Eukaryota; Metazoa; Arthropoda; Thecostraca; Pollicipedomorpha; Pollicipedidae. The transcript is spliced from 3 exons. The record is from RefSeq and is a predicted model, not a curated record.
CAACGCUGCUGGCGACGCCGGGGCCGCCGUCGGUGCCGUGGAAGAUGUGGCGCGGGCACUGCCGGACGCCGAGGAGAACAUCAACCUGGACCUGCCCAGCAGUCUGGAGGUGUCGAACGUGUGGAGCGACUACAUGCUGGAGCCGGCCGGGCCGAGCCUGGCCUGGCAGCAGCUGGAGCAGACAGCGCUGUCGCUCUCCGUGCCUGCUCACUUGGACCACUUCACCAAGAUACUGAGGUCCGACUGGGAGCUGGACGAGCCGGCGGCGUCCGGCCCCUCCGCCGUCGCACCUCU